GAUGAACGCUAGCGGGAGGCCUAACACAUGCAAGCCGAGCGGUAUUGUUUCUUCGGAAAUGAGAGAGCGGCGUACGGGUGCGGAACACGUGUGCAACCUGCCUUUAUCUGGGGGAUAGCCUUUCGAAAGGAAGAUUAAUACUCCAUAAUAUAUUGAUUGGCAUCAAUUGAUAUUGAAAGCUCCGGCGGAUAGAGAUGGGCACGCGCAAGAUUAGCUAGUUGGUGAGGUAACGGCUCACCAAGGCAAUGAUCUUUAGGGGCCUGAGAGGGUGAUCCCCCANACUGGUACUGAGACACGGACCAGACUCCUACGGGAGGCAGCAGUGAGGAAUAUUGGUCAAUGGGUGCAAGCCUGAACCAGCCAUCCCGCGUGAAGGACGACUGCCCUAUGGGUUGUAAACUUCUUUUGUAUAGGGAUAAACCUACCCUCGUGAGGGUAGCUGAAGGUACUAUACGAAUAAGCACCGGCUAACUCCGUGCCAGCAGCC
RNAcentral lists this ribosomal RNA (487 nucleotides) under uncultured bacterium. RNAcentral's name for it is "bacterial SSU rRNA". It matches the Rfam family "Bacterial small subunit ribosomal RNA", at positions 28 to 516 of the family's 1533-position model. The record is from RNAcentral.